AAUUUGCAUGAGGGAUGGAAAUGGCAUCCUUUUGUUUUGCUUCUUUAGCAAAACAAAAGAUAGAAUGGACAGCCCGACCUCGU
RNAcentral lists this small RNA (83 nucleotides) under Flavobacterium sp. 5. RNAcentral describes it as "Flavo-1 RNA". It matches the Rfam family "Flavo-1 RNA". The record is from RNAcentral. Lineage: Bacteria; Pseudomonadati; Bacteroidota; Flavobacteriia; Flavobacteriales; Flavobacteriaceae.